AUGGCUGAAUGCUUCAAUAGGGUGCUCAAAGGUGCAUGUGGAUUACCCGUGACGGCAAUAGUUCAAUACACAUUUGACAAGAUGAAUGCGUACUUUCCAAAAUACUCGAUGGAAACUGAUGCACAGAUAGCGGGUGAGAACCCGCGCAAGUACAAGUACAAGUUCCCACCCAAGGUUGAUGAAUGGUUAGAAUUUCAAUCAUGAAAGGCGGACUCAGAAGAAGCUAUAUUAUAUGACAACGAAGAGUGGAAGUAUGAAGUGAAAGAGCCAGGAGGAACCACAAACGAUGGCCGGCAACAUGGAGGUUGGGCUUUCAAGGUGUCUUUAAUACAAUGUGAUUGCUCUUGCGGGAGGCCAUUGUUGCUUCGUCUCCCAUGCUCACAUUUGUAUACCGCUGGUCGCGUUAGAAAUGUGGACAUCAAUCACCCAUGCACCGUGAGGGAGUUGGAGUUCUCAAUCAUGACGGUCAAGAAAACAUGGGCUCCCCGCUUUCACCCAUACUUUAAACAAUCACAACGGCCGGAGUACCAUGGAGUUCAACUAUGGCCGGAUCCG
This 555-nucleotide ribosomal RNA is filed under the name Triticum aestivum (bread wheat). RNAcentral describes it as "partial small subunit ribosomal RNA". Lineage: Eukaryota; Viridiplantae; Streptophyta; Magnoliopsida; Poales; Poaceae. The record is from RNAcentral.